RNAcentral lists this ribosomal RNA (460 nucleotides) under uncultured bacterium. RNAcentral's name for it is "partial 16S ribosomal RNA". It matches the Rfam family "Bacterial small subunit ribosomal RNA", at positions 338 to 795 of the family's 1533-position model. The record is from RNAcentral.
CCUACGGGAGGCAGCAGUGAGGAAUAUUGGUCAAUGGGCGCGAGCCUGAACCAGCCAAGCAGCGUGAAGGAUGACUGCCCUACGGGUUGUAAACUUCUUUUAUCAAGGAAUAAAGUGAGCCACGUGUGCCUUUUUGCAAGUACUUUAUGAAUAAGGAUCGGCUAACUCCGUGCCAGCAGCCGCGGUAAUACGGAGGAUCCGAGCGUUAUCCGGAUUUAUUGGGUUUAAAGGGAGCGUAGAUGGGUUGUUAAGUCAGUUGUGAAAGUUUGCGGCUCAACCGUCAAAUUGCAAUUGAUACUGGCAGUCUUGAGUACAGUUGAGGUAGGCGGAAUUCGUGGUGUAGCGGUGAAAUGCUUAGAUAUCACGAAGAACUCCGAUUGCGAAGGCAGCUUACUAGACUGCCACUGACAUUGAUGCUCGAAAGUGUGGGUAUCAAACAGGAGUAGAUACCCGAGUAGUC